Molecule: ribosomal RNA, 454 nt
Filed under: uncultured bacterium
Lineage: Bacteria
Description: partial 16S ribosomal RNA
Rfam family: Bacterial small subunit ribosomal RNA
Source: RNAcentral
GAUGAACGCUGACAGAAUGCUUAACACAUGCAAGUCUACUUGAACUUCGGUUUGGGUGGCGGACGGGUGAGUAACGCGUAAAGAACUUGCCUCACAGUUAGGGACAACAUUUGGAAACGAAUGCUAAUACCUGAUAUUAUGAUUUUAGGGCAUCCUAGGAUUAUGAAAGCUAUAUGUGCUGUGAGAGAGCUUUGCGUCCCAUUAGCUAGUUGGAGAGGUAACGGCUCACCAAGGCGAUGAUGGGUAGCCGGCCUGAGAGGGUGAGCGGCCACAAGGGGACUGAGACACGGCCCUUACUCCUACGGGAGGCAGCAGUGGGGAAUAUUGGACAAUGGACCAAAAGUCUGAUCCAGCAAUUCUGUGUGCACGAUGACGUUUUUCGGAAUGUAAAGUGCUUUCAGUUGGGAAGAAAAAAAUGACGGUACCAACAGAAGAAGUGACGGCUAAAUACGUG